This 699-nucleotide ribosomal RNA is filed under the name Triticum aestivum (bread wheat). RNAcentral's name for it is "partial small subunit ribosomal RNA". Lineage: Eukaryota; Viridiplantae; Streptophyta; Magnoliopsida; Poales; Poaceae. The record is from RNAcentral.
AUGGACAUGUUUCGAGGGUCGCUUGAUGCUGCCGCCGCAGCCGCAGCUACCAUCGGCAGAUCUGACAAGGUCGCCGGUAUUCUUAACAAGAGGUUAGAUGAUGAUCUGGGCGAAAUAGUCCUGGAAAUCCAUAGCAGCGACGAAUCUACAGUGCAUCCAGCAAAUGUCGUUCUCAUACAAGCGCUGGCUAUUUCCCGUGCUAGUAACACCAUUUACCCUUACUCUGAUUUGGUUGAUUGGUGGGUGUCCAGGCUCGAGAAAGAUGCAGAAUUGGUACGCCAAGGUGAACAGGGUGGAAAAUACAUAUUCCUCCUGAAUAACACAUUUGAUGUUCUGCAAAUGGUGCGGCGUCAAAGAGCAUCUUCUGCAAGUGACCAACUCGCGAGUAGGCUCGGUUCAGUGAUCGAGGGGUACAAGAGGAGUUACUUGGACGAGUGUUGGGCUCCUCUGAACCGUUUAAACUUGGAGGAGUUUACUGCCCAAUUUCUUGCUACAUGUGAAUGUCAGAUGACAUGGAAGGUUACAGCUGAGCUCAGGUACCAACUGCGGCGGGAGAUCGUGGAUCUGAUUGUUCCAUCGUAUGAGGUGUCCUUAUCUGCACUGCGGGGCCUGAAUGGACCUAUGGUGGGCAACAAGAAACAGAAGAAGUAUACUGGUGAGCAACUGGAAGAGGAGAUCAGAGGAUUAUUUGAAGGGUGA